CUGGCGGCGUGCCUAAUACAUGCAAGUCGAGCGGAGUAUUUGGGAGCUUGCUCCGAAAUAACUAGCGGCGGACGGGUGAGUAAUACGUAGGCAACCUGCCUGUAAGACUGGGAUAACUGCCGGAAACGGUAGCUAAUACCCGGAUAAAUCAUUUCGCCGCAUGGCGGGAUGCUGAAAGACGGAGCAAUCUGUCACUUACAGAUGGGCCUACGGCGCAUUAGCUAGUUGGUGGGGUAAAGGCCUACCAAGGCGACGAUGCGUAGCCGGCCUGAGAGGGUGAACGGCCACACUGGGACUGAGACACGGCCCAGACUCCUACGGGAGGCAGCAGUAGGGAAUCUUCCGCAAUGGACGAAAGUCUGACGGAGCAACGCCGCGUGAGUGAUGAAGGUUUUCGGAUCGUAAAGCUCUGUUGCCAGGGAAGAACGUCUUGGAGAGUAACUGCUCUGAGAGUGACGGUACCUGAGAAGAGAGCCCCGGCUAACUACGUGCCAGCCGCAGC
This 502-nucleotide ribosomal RNA is filed under the name uncultured bacterium. RNAcentral describes it as "bacterial SSU rRNA". It matches the Rfam family "Bacterial small subunit ribosomal RNA", at positions 36 to 518 of the family's 1533-position model. The record is from RNAcentral.